Gavialis gangeticus (Gharial) is the source of this 110-nucleotide long non-coding RNA. RefSeq lists it as uncharacterized. The transcript has 3 exons. NCBI's taxonomy places the organism in Eukaryota, Metazoa, Chordata, Crocodylia, Gavialidae. The record is from RefSeq and is a predicted model, not a curated record.
CCCAGGGUCCAGGUGCUCCUCAUCAAAAAGCAUCAGCCUAGCAAAUUGGAAAGCCAUGUUAGAUGGGUCAACUUGGGAAGAGGUAUAAAGUGGGGCCAGUCCAUGGGUUG